RNAcentral lists this non-coding RNA (24 nucleotides) under Arabidopsis thaliana (thale cress). Lineage: Eukaryota; Viridiplantae; Streptophyta; Magnoliopsida; Brassicales; Brassicaceae. The record is from RNAcentral.
GAAGAAUGUGUUGUCUGUCGUGGA